Molecule: ribosomal RNA, 152 nt
Filed under: Mycoplasmopsis pulmonis
Lineage: Bacteria; Bacillati; Mycoplasmatota; Mycoplasmoidales; Metamycoplasmataceae
Description: Mycoplasma pulmonis partial 16S ribosomal RNA
Rfam family: Bacterial small subunit ribosomal RNA
Source: RNAcentral
UGUACACACCGCCCGUCACACCAUGGGAGCUGGUAAUGCCCAAAGUCAAUUUAGCUAACCUCGGAGGUCGACUGUCUAAGGCAGGACUGGUGACUGGGGUGAAGUCGUAACAAGGUAUCCCUACGAGAACGUGGGGAUGGAUCACCUCCUUU